RNAcentral lists this microRNA precursor (139 nucleotides) under Brugia malayi. RNAcentral describes it as "microRNA bma-mir-9501 precursor". The record is from miRBase by way of RNAcentral. Lineage: Eukaryota; Metazoa; Nematoda; Chromadorea; Rhabditida; Onchocercidae.
ACUAUCCAAAAAAGAAUAACUAUCCUAAGUUUAAGAAUAAUCCAUAAGCCUUACGAAAAUCCGUAAAGCUUAUGGGUAGCGUACGGAAAGCCGCAAGGCUUAUGGGUUAUUCUUAAACUUAGUUUAUGGAUACCUAUGC